This 440-nucleotide ribosomal RNA is filed under the name uncultured bacterium. Its description in RNAcentral is "partial 16S ribosomal RNA". It matches the Rfam family "Bacterial small subunit ribosomal RNA", at positions 338 to 795 of the family's 1533-position model. The record is from RNAcentral.
CCUACGGGCGGCAGCAGUAGGGAAUAUUGCUCAAUGGGGGAAACCCUGAAGCAGCAACGCCGCGUGGAGGAUGAAGGUUUUCGGAUUGUAAACUCCUUUUGUUAGAGAAGAUAAUGACGGUAUCUAACGAAUAAGCACUGGCUAAUACCGUGCCAGCAGCCGCGGUAAUACGGAGGGUGCAAGCGUUACUCGGAAUCACUGGGCGUAAAGAGCGCGUAGGCGGGUUAGCAAGUCAGAUGUGAAAUCCUAUGGCUUAACCAUAGAACUGCAUUUGAAACUGUUAUUCUAGAGUAUGGGAGAGGUAGGUGGAAUUCUUGGUGUAGCGGUAAAAUGCGUAGAGAUCAAGAGGAAUACUGAUUGCGAAGGCGGCCUGCUAGAACGUAACUGACGCUGAUGCGCGAAAGCGUGGGGAGCAAACAGGAUUAGAUACCCUAGUAGUC